Chiloscyllium plagiosum (whitespotted bambooshark) is the source of this 594-nucleotide non-coding RNA. Lineage: Eukaryota; Metazoa; Chordata; Chondrichthyes; Orectolobiformes; Hemiscylliidae. The record is from RefSeq and is a predicted model, not a curated record.
GGGGGGGCGGGUCGUUCAGCUGGUGUUUCCGUGAGGCCUAUUCCGCCGCUCGUGUUGGGUGUGUAGAGUCGGCAGCUGGAGGGUCAGGGGGGUUCCAGUUCUUCACUUGUGAGGAUCUAACCCUUGGAGUGUUUAGUACGCUUUUCUGACUCAGAAUGCCUCAACAACUACUCACAUGUUCAUAGUUAAAUCUCUUCUCCUGAAUUAGUUACUCAUAUAAAUUUAUCAGUUGACACCUUUGGAUUUUUUUCCCUUGAAAUUGAAUUUGCUUUAUUUGGCAAACUUUGUUAUUCCUAAAUUUGUUCAUCAGCCCCCAGAGUAAAGGAAAAUCUGAAAUGAGACCCCUGCCCCAGCCCACCACCCACCGUCUCAAAGAAAAUGAAGAGGUUUGACAGCUAAUCAUUUGACCAUAGUCACCUUGACUGCCAAGAGUAGAAAAGGCGGGACCAGACGCUACCAGGCAGAACCAACAAGGCUGUCUUCGCAGAAUGAUUGCAAGAUGUCAAUUUAACACCACUGUGUCCUGGAGAACAACCCUAAAUAAGCAUUGGCAUCUUCAAACCAGCACCUAGAUCAGCAAAGGAAUUUCUGAUU